Molecule: long non-coding RNA, 3107 nt
Organism: Dunckerocampus dactyliophorus (ringed pipefish)
Lineage: Eukaryota; Metazoa; Chordata; Actinopteri; Syngnathiformes; Syngnathidae
Exons: 3
Source: RefSeq, a predicted model, not a curated record
CUGCGUUGGCAAUAUUUUUAUGUAUUUUCUGCAUAAAGCUCCCGUUCCACACUCCAGUCCGAUAGGUGGCGGUAAUGCACUGCGUGUCGGCAACAUCGCUGCUGCUGUUAGCAAAGAUAAACACAUGGAGACAGCACACUGAGACUUCCUGUUCAUCUCACUAGUCUUCCCAAAUGCAGUGACGGCAAUGUGAAUGGCUCUGAGGAGUUCGUGGCCUGCGUGGCUUUUAAACCGCACCAAAAAGGUAAGAAGGCUUCAGUCAAAUCCAGUCUUUCGUGUACAGGAUGAAAAAGGCAUGUUUUUUAAUGAAAGCGAGUGCAAAUCAAGAGCUGUAACAAGUUGUUUGGCAGGAAAAAACCCCACCAGCAGAAGCACAAGCUCCGGGGUCCUGAUGAUUAGCAAUUUCCCUUACAAAUCUCAUUCCUAGGUAACAAGGGAACAUCUGCUGAAGGAAGUAGGUUCUCUCCUCGCUGAAGUGUACAGUGAGGUCUUGGCUUUCUAUUCCACAUGGCUCGACUUUAGUUGGCUCCUCCACAUGCUUCAGUGACACCAGAGGUCGGCAUCAUAGUGACUGGCAUAUGUUUUGUGUGUGAAGUGUUCCCUCGUUUAUCGCAGGGUUCCCAAAAUAGCCCGCAAUAAGUGAAAUCUGCGAAGUAGCCGACUAUUUUUGUUAGAAUUUUAAUGAUAAACCUACUAGGUGUAAUUAUUAAGUGAGUCACGCGUAUGUCACUCUCCUGUCCGUGCCUCUUCAUCCCGGUGCCGCUCCUCCGAAGCGUUUUUGUAUCCUUGCUAACACGUAUUGCUCCUGUCAUCGGAUUUUCCUCCAUGAACCAAAGAGCUGUUUAUUUUGUAAUGACGCCCUACGGCCGCAACUUGUAGCAUGUCCAGAAGUCCAACUUUUUGUGUGAUGGUUGGCUUCCUCUGCCUUUUGGGUGCAGAACGUUUCAUUGACAUUGAGGGUUUUGUCUGGGGGGGGGGGGGGGAACCUAGCAACCAUAGAGCGUUCAAAACCACACUGUUAGCAUCUUCGGUUUCUUCUAUUGUUGUUGGCGGUUAGCAAGCAGCUCACACGGUUAGCUAGUUUGCUAGCAAUGGCCACAACAGCAGACAACAUGAAGGAUAUUGACUGAUUGGUUGACAGUGGUCUACAGCCAGUCAGGACGCAGAAGAGAAUGGGCGGUGCCGACAGAAGAGACACAGCCACCUCGUGUUAAAGCACGGAACUACAACACUCAACUUCCCACAAUGCAGUUCUUCUUAAAGGGCCAAGCUCUGUCUGUAACAGCGUUCAUACAAAACAUUUUUAAAAAAGCACUAAAAUUGCACCAAAAAAAAAUCUGUGAAACUGAGUCCGCAAAAAGGUGAACUGCGAGGGAACACUGCCUGGCAGUGGUGUGCCAUCAGGUCCAGCAAAGCACUGACAUACAUUUACAAAAGAGUUGUUCCAUGAAAUUGUAUUCAUUUAUUCCCACCAGUCUGCACUGCUAAUCUAAUCUGCCCAGGGCCUUCAAAAUCGGCAGUGCGGGCAGGUAUCACAAACAGCUGUUUUUUUUUUUUUUUUUUAACUAAUCAGAUUUCAGAUUCUCCUCACAGGGCCAGCUAGCUGGCCUACAAUAAAAACAACAGUUUUCCGUCCUCUGUUUGAUCAGAGCAAAAAAAGCCAAGCUGGACUUGAAUAGUCUGUAGCGAUUUGCACACAAUGAUGCCCACCAGCAAAGCUAGGCACUGUAAAGAGUGGUUGACCGACCCGGAAGCUAGCUAGCUUGGGGAAGUGUUUGCUCGCCACUUCCAGACCAGUGCUUACGAGUGGUACAGCUGUUUUGAUGUUUGUGUUAUUAAAUAAAUAUUGAUUCUGAAUGGUUGCCCGUGUGAGUCACAAAAUGCUCAAAGAAACUAGCAUAAAAGUAACUUGCGUAUCAGCGACAAUGUUUUUGGAGGUUUAACUGUGGGUGUCGUGCUUUAGCAAUCUCCCAAUUCAUCCCCAAAAUGUGACAUGCUCUCUGUAACGCCAUGCCUUGUUAUAUUGUGUUUUUCUGUAUUAUCUGUGGGUUGCAUGUAUGCUGCAAUGCAAUAGUGGUGGUUUGAGUCUCUACUGAAGGCCCAGGUACCAAAUGCACCGCCGACCACUGGUGAAGGGACAAGUGGUUGUCUGAUACGACAAACGCAUGUGAUGUGGUCGUAAAGUCACAGUAGAUUUGCACACAGCAGUGUCCGCAUAAAUGACGAACUCGCAUCAAACCUGCAGACCAACUGUUACUUGAAUAAACCUAAAUAAGAGUUUUACGAGUGCACAUUCUGGAGAAAUGCAUCUUAUCAAGGGACUAUGCAUUGUGGCACCUCCUUGCAGCGGCGUGACACACUGUGCAUGUGGCGCCACAAAGAUGACACUUCACUGCUCUUCUCGUCCUUGGAUGGGUAAGAUGAAUAUGGCAAAUCAGAGAUCAGCUUUAGGCCAUUGCUAAUGUUCAUCAUAUCAAACAGUGUUUGUGCAGGGCUUUAGAUAAUCAUCAUGCAGAGAGCAUUGUCUUCCAAUAAUGCAUCUACUGCUGAUGUAAGAUUAGAAUGUGUUGCCAUAUAAUCCUGGAGGAGGAGUUAUUUCAUGAAGUAAUCUCAGUUGUUGUUGUUGUUUUUUUUUUUUUUUUUUUUUCUGCGUAGACUUCUGUGAUGUGCUCAUUUCCUGAAGGGAGAAACGGCAUCCAGUGCAAAAAAAAAAAAACAACAAAAAAAAUCCAAUAAAAAGAUUGAUUGUCCUGUGCCUUGUUGAUGAGGCUAAUACACAAUUGAUGAUUCUUUGGAAAUAAAUAAAUAAAGCAGAACAUUUCUUGUUCUUUUUUUUUCCCCCCCCUUAUUUUCAGUCUCUUCACAAGGAGCUCAGCCCACCAUUGACAGCUUUUGUGUUUUAAAUGCAUCCAGCCACUGCUGUUCAAUCCCAUCCCAACCCAGACAUUGCUAUCUCUCAUGAGCAGAUGCAGUUGGCACUGACGAUUAGGAAAGAUUUCGAUGGUUAGAUUUUGUUUUCUUUGAAGAACCAAGAACCGCACAGGACUCAGCAGGGGACCCCGUUGCUCCCAUUAUGCCCGUUAUAUGGCUGCCAUACAUAAUGACAA